UUGAUACUCCCUCCGUUCGAAAAUACUUGUCAUCGAAAUAGACAAAAAGGGAUGUAUCUAAAACUAAAAUACAUCUAGAUACAUCCCCUUUUAUUUAUUUUGAUGACAAGUAUUUCCGGACGGAGGGAGUACUAG
Molecule: non-coding RNA, 135 nt
Organism: Triticum aestivum (bread wheat)
Lineage: Eukaryota; Viridiplantae; Streptophyta; Magnoliopsida; Poales; Poaceae
Source: Rfam